This 24-nucleotide microRNA is filed under the name Ananas comosus (pineapple). RNAcentral's name for it is "microRNA s0929_c121a". The record is from RNAcentral. Lineage: Eukaryota; Viridiplantae; Streptophyta; Magnoliopsida; Poales; Bromeliaceae.
GACCAAACAAAAUAAUCUUACAUU